UGCCACUUUGCUGUUAUUCUACCUGAAGGAGCUCAGUAAAGGGAGGUGCUGGGUAUCUCGACUUGACUUGGAAGCUCCAGCUCCUCAUGACUGUGGUUGCUUCAACUUCACUUUUGGCUCUUCAGAAGAAGACCUGUUGAACACUGCUUGAGGAUACGACUGGAGCAGGGAAAGUUUAGGUGCAUCCUGCUGACACUGGAGAGGAUGGCGCCAGCUCGCGAAUGUGCCUUGGAACCUCA
This is a long non-coding RNA of Nothoprocta perdicaria, 239 nucleotides long. RefSeq lists it as uncharacterized. The transcript is spliced from 3 exons. The record is from RefSeq and is a predicted model, not a curated record. NCBI's taxonomy places the organism in Eukaryota, Metazoa, Chordata, Aves, Tinamiformes, Tinamidae.